RNAcentral lists this ribosomal RNA (497 nucleotides) under uncultured bacterium. RNAcentral describes it as "partial 16S ribosomal RNA". It matches the Rfam family "Bacterial small subunit ribosomal RNA", at positions 28 to 507 of the family's 1533-position model. The record is from RNAcentral.
GAUGAACGCUGGCGGCGUGCCUAAUACAUGCAAGUCGAGCGAACAGACGAGGAGCUUGCUCCUCUGAUGUUAGCGGCGGACGGGUGAGUAACACGUGGAUAACCUACCUAUAAGACUGGGAUAACUUCGGGAAACCGGAGCUAAUACCGGAUAACAUGUUGAACCGCAUGGUUCAACAGUGAAAGACGGUCUUGCUGUCACUUAUAGAUGGAUCCGCGCCGCAUUAGCUAGUUGGUAAGGUAACGGCUUACCAAGGCAACGAUGCGUAGCCGACCUGAGAGGGUGAUCGGCCACACUGGAACUGAGACACGGUCCAGACUCCUGCGGGAGGCAGCAGUAGGGAAUCUUCCGCAAUGGGCGAAAGCCUGACGGAGCAACGCCGCGUGAGUGAAGAAGGUCUUCGGAUCGUAAAACUCUGUUAUUAGGGAAGAACAAAUGUGUAAGUAACUAUGCACGUCUUGACGGUACCUAAUCAGAAAGCCACGGCUAACUACGUG